GGUCCAGACAGACCGGGGAGACGAGGUCCAGACAGACCGGGGAGACGAGGUCCAGACAGACCGGGGAGACGAGGUCCAGACAGACCGGGGAGACGAGGUCCAGACAGACCGGAGAGACGAGGUCCAGACAGACGAGGUCCAGACAGACGAGGUCCAGACAGACCGGAGAGACGAGGUCCAGACAGACCGGGGAGACGAGGUCCAGACAGACCGGGGAGACGAGGUCCAGACAGACGAGGUCCAGACAGACGAGGUCCAGACAGACCGGGGAGACGAGGUCCAGACAGACGAGGUCCAGACAGACGAGGUCCAGACAGACGAGGUCCAGACAGACGAGGUCCAGACAGACGAGGUCCAGACAGACGAGGUCCAGACAGACCGGGGAGACGAGGUCCAGACAGACGAGGACCAGACAGACGAGGACCAGACAGACGAGGACCAGACAGACGAGGACCAGACAGACCGGG
Long non-coding RNA from Oncorhynchus keta (chum salmon), 467 nucleotides. RefSeq lists it as uncharacterized. NCBI's taxonomy places the organism in Eukaryota, Metazoa, Chordata, Actinopteri, Salmoniformes, Salmonidae. The record is from RefSeq and is a predicted model, not a curated record. The transcript has 3 exons.